UGGGGAAUUUUGGACAAUGGGGGCAACCCUGAUCCAGCAAUGCCGCGUGAGUCAAGAAGGCCUUCGGGUUGUAAAGCUCUUUUGUCAGGGAAGAAACGGUAGUAGCGAAUAACUACUACUAAUGACGGUACCUGAAGAAUAAGCACCGGCUAACUACGUGCCAGCAGCCGCGGUAAUACGUAGGGUGCAAGCGUUAAUCGGAAUUACUGGGCGUAAAGCGUGCGCAGGCGGUUGCGUAAGUCAGAUGUGAAAUCCCCGGGCUCAACCUGGGAAUUGCAUUUGAGACUGCACGGCUAGAGUGUGUCAGAGGGGGGUAGAAUUCCACGUGUAGCAGUGAAAUGCGUAGAUAUGUGGAGGAAUACCGAUGGCGAAGGCAGCCCCCUGGGAUAACACUGACGCUCAUGCACGAAAGCGUGGGGAGCAAACAGGAUUAGAUACCCAAGUAGUCCCUGAGCGGGCUGGCAAGGCGCAU
RNAcentral lists this ribosomal RNA (472 nucleotides) under uncultured bacterium. RNAcentral's name for it is "bacterial SSU rRNA". It matches the Rfam family "Bacterial small subunit ribosomal RNA", at positions 355 to 825 of the family's 1533-position model. The record is from RNAcentral.